UAAAAACCCCGACUUCGGAAGGGGUGUAUUUAUUAGAUACAAAACCAAUGCCCUUCGGGGCUCUUUGGUGAUUCAUGAUAACUAUACGAAUCGCACGGCCUUGCGCCGGCGAUGGUUCAUUCAAAUUUCUUCCCUAUCAACUUUCGAUGUUUGGGUAUUGGCCAAACAUGGUUGCAACGGGUAACGGAGGGUUAGGGCUCGACCCCGGAGAAGGAGCCUGAGAAACGGCUACUACAUCCAAGGAAGGCAGCAGGCGCGCAAAUUACCCAAUCCCGACUCGGGGAGGUAGUGACAAUAAAUACUGAUACAGGGCCCUUUCGGGCCUUGUAAUUGGAAUGAGUACAAUUUAAAUCCCUUAACGAGGAACAAUUGGAGGGCAAGUCUGGUGCCAGCAGCCGCGGUAAUUCCAGCUCCAAUAGCGUAUAAUAAAGUUGUUGUGGUUAAAAAGUUCGUAUAGAUAACUUGGGCCGGGGAAAUUGGAAGCCAAAAGAUGAGUAAGGGAGGCAGGGUUUGUAACGUAUAGAACCUGGUGUCUCCACAUAUAAAGACGAAUAAAAUGAAAAAAAAUUCGAAAAA
RNAcentral lists this ribosomal RNA (576 nucleotides) under uncultured eukaryote. Its description in RNAcentral is "bacterial SSU rRNA". It matches the Rfam family "Eukaryotic small subunit ribosomal RNA", at positions 174 to 764 of the family's 1831-position model. The record is from RNAcentral.